UCCCAGACUCCUACGGGAGGCAGCAGUGGGGGAUAUUGCACAAUGGGGGAAACCCUGAUGCAGCGACGCCGCGUGGGCGAAGAAGUAUUUCGGUAUGUAAAGCCCUAUCAGCAGGGAAGAAGAAAUGACGGUACCUGACUAAGAAGCACCGGCUAAAUACGUGCCAGCAGCCGCGGUAAUACGUAUGGUGCAAGCGUUAUCCGGAUUUACUGGGUGUAAAGGGAGCGCAGGCGGCGCGUUAAGCCUGGUGUGAAAGCCCGCGGCCCAACCGCGGGACUGCAUUGGGAACUGGCGCGCUGGAGUGCCGGAGGGGUAGGCGGAAUUCCUAGUGUAGCGGUGAAAUGCGUAGAUAUUAGGAGGAACACCAGUGGCGAAGGCGGCUUACUGGACUGUAAAUGACGCUGAGGCUCGAAAGCGUGGGGAGCAAACAGGAUUAGAUACCCCUGUAGCG
Molecule: ribosomal RNA, 451 nt
Filed under: uncultured bacterium
Lineage: Bacteria
Description: partial 16S ribosomal RNA
Rfam family: Bacterial small subunit ribosomal RNA
Source: RNAcentral